Molecule: ribosomal RNA, 1799 nt
Organism: Verticillium dahliae VdLs.17
Lineage: Eukaryota; Fungi; Ascomycota; Sordariomycetes; Glomerellales; Plectosphaerellaceae
Rfam family: Eukaryotic small subunit ribosomal RNA
Source: Rfam
UACCUAGUUAAUUCUACUAGUAAUUAUAUAUUUAUUUUAAAGAUUAAGCUAUAUAUAUCUAAGUAUAAGUAAUUAUAAAGCGAAACUACGAAUAGCUUAUUAUAUAAGUUAUCGUUUAUUUAAUAGUAUUUUACUAUAUAGAUAACUAUAGUAAUUCUAGAGCUAAUAUAUAUUAAAAAUCCUAAUUUCGGAAAGGAUAUAUUUAUUAAAUAUAAAACUAAUACCCUUUAGGGCUCUCUUAGUAAUUUAUAAUAACUUCUUAAAUCGUAUAGCCCUAUAUUAGCGAUAAUUCAUUUAAAUUUCUUCCCUAUUAACUUUCAAUAUUAUAGUAUUAUCCUAGUAUAGUUAUAAUAGGUAAUAGAAGGUUAGGGCUCGACCCCGGAGAAGGAGCCUAAGAAACGGCUAUUAUAUCUAAGGAAGGUAAUAAGCGUAUAAAUUACUUAAUCCUAACUUAAGGAGGUAAUAACGAUAAAUACCGAUAUAGGGCUCUUUUAAGUCCUAUAAUUAGAAUAAAUAUAAUUUAAAUCCUUUAAUAAGGAAUAAUUAGAGGGUAAAUCUAAUACUAAUAGCCGUAGUAAUUCUAGCUCUAAUAGCGUAUAUUAAAAUUAUUAUAGUUAAAAAGCUUAUAAUAGAAGCUCGGCCUCUAGUCGGCUAGUCCGCCUUACUAUAUAUACUAGUUCGGCUAGGGCUUUACCUUCUACGGAACUAUAUCUCCUUUAUUAAGGGUAUUAGGGAAAUAGGACGUUUAUUUUAAAAAAAUUAGAGUAUUCUAGGUAAGCUUAUACUCGAAUAUAUUAAUAUAGAAUAAUAGAAUAGGAUAUAUAGUCUUAUUUCGUUAAUUUCUAGGACCGCUAUAAUAAUUAAUAGGGAUAAUUAAGGGCAUUAAUAUUUAAUCGUUAGAAGUAAAAUUCUUAGAUCGAUUAAAGACUAACUACUAUAAAAGUAUUUACUAAAGAUAUUUUUAUUUAUUAAGAAUAAAAGUUAAAGGAUCGAAGACGAUUAGAUACCAUUAUAGUCUUAACUAUAAACUAUACCGAUUAGGGAUCGGAUAGUAUUAUUUCUUAACCUAUUUAGUACUUUAUAAGAAAUUAAAGUGCUUAGGCUCUAGGGGGAGUAUAGUUAUAAAGCUAAAACUUAAAGAAAUUAACGGAAGGGCACUACUAGGGGUAGAGCCUAUAGCUUAAUUUAACUUAAUAUAGGGAAACUUACUAGGUCUAGAUAUAAUAAGGAUUAAUAGAUUAAGAGCUCUUUUUUAAUUUUAUAGGUAAUAGUAUAUAGCUAUUCUUAAUUAAUAGAAUAAUUUAUCUACUUAAUUAUAAUAACGAACGAGACCUUAACCUAUUAAAUAGUCUAUAUUACCCUAGUAAUACGCUAAUUUCUUAGAGGGACUAUUAGCUUAAGCCGAUAAAAGUUUAAAGUAAUAAUAGGUCUAUAAUACCCUUAGAUAUUCUAGGCUAUAUACGUAUUAUAUUAACGGGGCUAGUAAGUACUACUUUAGCCGAAAAGUCCGAGUAAUCUUAUAAAACCCUAUUAUACUAGGGAUAGAGUAUUAUAAUUAUUACUCUUUAACGAGGAAUCCCUAAUAAGCGUAAAUUAUUAGCUUAUAUUAAUUACGUCCUUACCUUUUAUAUAUACUACUUAUCGCUAUUAUCGAUUAAAUAGCUUAGUAAAGCUUUCGGACUAGUCUAGAGUAGGGGGCGACCCCUAUUCUAGAUUAGAAAAUUAUCCGAAUUUAGUUAUUUAGAGGAAGUAAAAGUUAUAAUAAGGUCUCUAUUAAUAAAUUAGUAAAGGGAUUAUUA